GUAGGGAAUCUUCGGCAAUGGACGAAAGUCUGACCGAGCAACGCCGCGUGAGUGAAGAAGGUUUUCGGAUCGUAAAGCUCUGUUGUUGUUAAAGAACGUUGAUGAGAGUGGAAAGUUCAUCAAGUGACGGUAAACAACCAGAAAGGGACGGCUAACUACGUGCCAGCAGCCGCGGUAAUACGUAGGUCCCGAGCGUUGUCCGGAUUUAUUGGGCGUAAAGCGAGCGCAGGUGGUUUCUUAAGUCUGGUGUCAAAGGCUACUGCUCAACAGUAGUGUGCAUUGGAAACUGGGAGACUUGAGUGCAGGAGAGGAGAGUGGAAUUCCAUGUGUAGCGGUGAAAUGCGUAGAUAUAUGGAGGAACACCGGAGGCGAAAGCGGCUCUCUGGCCUGUAACUGACACUGAGGCUCGAAAGCGUGGGGAGCAAACAGGAUUAGAUACCCUAGUAGUCC
This 450-nucleotide ribosomal RNA is filed under the name uncultured bacterium. Its description in RNAcentral is "bacterial SSU rRNA". It matches the Rfam family "Bacterial small subunit ribosomal RNA", at positions 354 to 796 of the family's 1533-position model. The record is from RNAcentral.